CUCUUUUUGAUUAUAAUUUAAAGUUGGGCCUGCCCACUGAAUUUUAAAGGGCCGCAGUAUUUUGACUGUGCAAAGGUAGCAUAAUCAUUAGUUUUUUAAUUAAAAGCUUGUAUGAAUGGUUUGAUGAAAAAGUUUCUGUUUCAGUUUUAAUAUUUAGAAUUUUAUUUUUAAGUUAAAAAGCUUAAAUUUGAUUUAAAGACGAGAAGACCCUAUAGAGUUUAACUAAAAUUAAAUUUAUAAAUUUUAGAAUUUUAAGUUUGUAAUUUUAUUUAAGUUUUGUUGGGGUGACAGAAAAAUUAAUUAAACUUUUUUUUUAUUAUUACAAUGAUUAUUGAUUAAUUGAUCCAUGGAUUAUGAUUAUAAGAUUAAAUUACCUUAGGGAUAACAGCGUAAUUUUUUUUGAAAGUUCUUAUUGAAAAAAAAGAUUGCGACCUCGAUGUUGGAUUAAAAUUAAUAUUUGGUGAAGAAGCUAAAUUAUUAGGUCUGUUCGACCUUUAAAAUUUUACAUGAUCUGAGUUUAAACCGGUGUAAGCCAGGUUGGUUUCUAUCUUAAAAUAAAGUUAAUAUUUUAGUACGAAAGGACCAAAUAUUGUAUUAAUAAUAUAAAUUUAAGAAUUUUAUUUUGGCAGAAUAGUGCGAAGGAUUUAGAAUCUUUAUAUGUAUUUUAUACAAGUAAAAAUUGAUUUAAUUUUGAUUUUAAGAAAUUUUUUAAUUUUAAUUUUAGGAGUAUUAGUUGGAGUAGCUUUUUUAACUUUAUUAGAACGUAAGUUUUU
RNAcentral lists this ribosomal RNA (773 nucleotides) under Henosepilachna annulata. RNAcentral's name for it is "partial 16S ribosomal RNA". The stretch from base 381 to 539 matches the Rfam family "Bacterial large subunit ribosomal RNA", at positions 2473 to 2632 of the family's 2925-position model. Lineage: Eukaryota; Metazoa; Arthropoda; Insecta; Coleoptera; Coccinellidae. The record is from RNAcentral.